This 424-nucleotide ribosomal RNA is filed under the name Verrucomicrobiota bacterium. RNAcentral describes it as "Verrucomicrobia bacterium partial 16S ribosomal RNA". It matches the Rfam family "Bacterial small subunit ribosomal RNA", at positions 355 to 776 of the family's 1533-position model. The record is from RNAcentral. Lineage: Bacteria; Pseudomonadati; Verrucomicrobiota.
UGAGGAAUAUUGGUCAAUGGGCGAGAGCCUGAACCAGCCAAGUAGCGUGCAGGAUGACGGCCCUAUGGGUUGUAAACUGCUUUUAUGUGGGGAUAAAGUGCGUGACGUGUCAUGCAUUGCAGGUACCACAUGCAUAAGGACCGGCUAAUUCCGUGCCAGCAGCCGCGGUAAUACGGAAGGUCCGGGCGUUAUCCGGAUUUAUUGGGUUUAAAGGGAGCGUAGGCUGUCUAUUAAGCGUGUUGUGAAAUUUACCGGCUCAACCGGUGGCUUGCAGCGCGAACUGGUCGACUUGAGUAUGCAGGAAGUAGGCGGAAUUCAUGGUGUAGCGGUGAAAUGCUUAGAUAUCAUGACGAACUCCGAUUGCGCAGGCAGCUUACUGUAGCAUAACUGACGCUGAUGCUCGAAAGUGCGGGUAUCAAACAGG